RNAcentral lists this ribosomal RNA (406 nucleotides) under uncultured bacterium. RNAcentral's name for it is "partial 16S ribosomal RNA". It matches the Rfam family "Bacterial small subunit ribosomal RNA", at positions 30 to 526 of the family's 1533-position model. The record is from RNAcentral.
CUUGACCGCUGGCGGCAGGCCUAACACAUGCAAGUCGAACGAGUGGCGGACGGGUGAGUAAUGUCUGGGAAACUGCCCGAUGGAGGGGGAUAACUACUGGAAACGGUAGCUAAUACCGCAUACCAUCGGAUGUGCCCAGAUGGGAUUAGCUAGUAGGUGGGGUAACGGCUCACCUAGGCGACGAUCCCUAGCUGGUCUGAGAGGAUGACCAGCCACACUGGGACUGAGACACGGUCCAGACUCCUACGGGAGGCAUCAUUGGGGAAUAUUGCACAAUGGGCGCAAGCCUGAUGCAGCCAUGCCGCGUGUAUGAAGAAGGCCUUCGGGUUGUAAAGUACUUUCAGCGAGGAGGCGUUACUCGCAGAAGAAGCACCGGCUAACUCCGUGCCAGCAGCCGCGGUAAUUC